CCUACGGGAGGCAGCAGUGGGGAAUUUUGGACAAUGGGGGCAACCCUGAUCCAGCCAUGCCGCGUGAGUGAAGAAGGCCUUCGGGUUGUAAAGCUCUUUCGGCCGGAACGAAAUCGCGCACGUGAAUAACGUGCGUGGAUGACGGUACCGGAGUAAGAAGCACCGGCUAACUACGUGCCAGCAGCCGCGGUAAUACGUAGGGUGCGAGCGUUAAUCGGAAUUACUGGGCGUAAAGCGUGCGCAGGCGGUUCGCUAAGUCAGACGUGAAAGCCCCGGGCUUAACCUGGGAACGGCGUUUGAAACUGGCGGGCUCGAGUACGGCAGAGGGGGGUGGAAUUCCACGUGUAGCAGUGAAAUGCGUAGAUAUGUGGAGGAACACCGAUGGCGAAGGCAGCCCCCUGGGCCGAUACUGACGCUCAUGCACGAAAGCGUGGGGAGCAAACAGGAUUAGAUACCCUGGUAGUCCACGCCCUAAACUAUGUCAACUAGUUGUCGGGGAAGCAAUUCCUUGGUAACGCAGCUAACGCGUGAAGUUGACCGCCUGGGGAGUACGGUCGCAAGAUUAAAACUCAAAGGAUUGACGG
This 584-nucleotide ribosomal RNA is filed under the name uncultured bacterium. Its description in RNAcentral is "bacterial SSU rRNA". It matches the Rfam family "Bacterial small subunit ribosomal RNA", at positions 338 to 916 of the family's 1533-position model. The record is from RNAcentral.